Molecule: ribosomal RNA, 236 nt
Filed under: uncultured bacterium
Lineage: Bacteria
Description: partial 16S ribosomal RNA
Rfam family: Bacterial small subunit ribosomal RNA
Source: RNAcentral
GCUCCUGACUCAGGAUGAACGCUAGCGGCAGGCUUAACACAUGCAAGUCGAGGGGCAGCAUAAUGGAUAGCAAUAUCUAUGGUGGCGACCGGCGCACGGGUGCGUAACGCGUAUGCAACCUACCUUUAACAGGGGGAUAACACUGAGAAAUUGGUACUAAUACCCCAUAAUAUCAUAGAAGGCAUCUUUUAUGGUUGAAAAUUCCGAUGGUUAGAGAUGGGCAUGCGUUGUAUUAG